GAUAAACGCUGGCGGCGUGCAUGAGACAUGCAAGUCGAACGGACGAUCAGGGCUUGCUCUGAUCGUUAGUGGCGGACGGCUGAGUAACGCGUAGGUGACCUGCCCCGAAGUGGGGAAUAACUGCCCGAAAGGGUGGCUAAUACCGCAUGUGGUGGUGCCUUCAUGGGCACCAGUAAAGCCGCAAGGCGCUUCGGGAGGGGCCUGCGUCCGAUUAGCUCGUUGGUGGGGAACGGCUCACCAAGGCGACGAUCGGUAGGUGGUCUGAGAGGACGAUCACCCAGACUGGGACUGAGACACGGCCCAGACUCCUACGGGAGGCAGCAGUCGGGAAUUUUGCGCAAUGGACGAAAGUCUGACGCAGCAACGCCGCGUGAGGGAUGACGGCCU
RNAcentral lists this ribosomal RNA (387 nucleotides) under uncultured bacterium. RNAcentral describes it as "bacterial SSU rRNA". It matches the Rfam family "Bacterial small subunit ribosomal RNA", at positions 28 to 417 of the family's 1533-position model. The record is from RNAcentral.